Molecule: non-coding RNA, 73 nt
Organism: Megalops atlanticus (tarpon)
Lineage: Eukaryota; Metazoa; Chordata; Actinopteri; Elopiformes; Megalopidae
Source: the annotation of a GenBank genome assembly
GGCCCAGUGGCCUAAUGGAUAAGGCAUCAGUCAAUAGAGCUGACAAUUGUGGGUUUGAGCCAAGCUGGGGUUG